RNAcentral lists this ribosomal RNA (859 nucleotides) under uncultured bacterium. RNAcentral's name for it is "bacterial SSU rRNA". It matches the Rfam family "Bacterial small subunit ribosomal RNA", at positions 600 to 1451 of the family's 1533-position model. The record is from RNAcentral.
UCNUCUGGCUCAACUGGGGGCGUGCGGUGGGUACGGGCUGGCUUGAGUGCGGUAGGGGAGGCUGGAACUCCUGGUGUAGCGGUGGAAUGCGCAGAUAUCAGGAAGAACGCCGGUGGCGAAGGCGGGUCUNUGAGCCGUUACUGACGCUGAGGAGCGAAAGCGUGGGGAGCGAACAGGGUUAGAUACCCUGGUAGUCCACGCUGUAAACGUUGGGCACUAGGUGUGGGGGCCACCCGUGGUUCCCGCGCCGUAGCUAACGCUUUAAGUGCCCCGCCUGGGGAGUACGGCCGCAAGGCUAAAACUCAAAGGAAUUGACGGGGGCCCGCACAAGCGGCGGAGCAUGCGGAUUAAUUCGAUGCAACGCGAAGAACCUUACCAAGGCUUGACAUGCGCCCCGGGCGCGCGGAGACGCGCGCGCAUUUGGUUGGGGGUGUGCAGGUGGUGCAUGGUUGUCGUCAGCUCGUGUCGUGAGAUGUUGGGUUAAGUCCCGCAACGAGCGCAACCCUUGCCCUAUGUUGCCAGCGCGUUGUGGCGGGGACUCGUGGGGGACUGCCGGGGUUAACUCGGAGGAAGGUGGGGAUGACGUCAAAUCAUCAUGCCCCUUAUGUCUUGGGCUUCACGCAUGCUACAAUGGCCGGUACAGAGGGUUGCGAUGCCGUGAGGCGGGGCGAAUCCCUUAAAGCCGGUCUCAGUUCGGAUUGGGGUCUGCAACUCGACCCCAUGAAGGUGGAGUCGCUAGUAAUCGCAGAUCAGCAACGCUGCGGUGAAUACGUUCUCGGGCCUUGUACACACCGCCCGUCACGUCACGAAAGUUGGUAACGCCCGAAGCCCAUGGCCCAACCGGCUCUUGCUGGGGGGA